RNAcentral lists this Y RNA (112 nucleotides) under Carlito syrichta (Philippine tarsier). RNAcentral describes it as "Y RNA (ENSTSYG00000034100.1)". It matches the Rfam family "Y RNA". Rfam says of the family: Y RNAs are components of the Ro ribonucleoprotein particle (Ro RNP), in association with Ro60 and La proteins. The record is from Rfam by way of RNAcentral. Lineage: Eukaryota; Metazoa; Chordata; Mammalia; Primates; Tarsiidae.
GGCUGGUCCGAAGGUAGUGAUUUUUCUCAAUUGAUUAUUUGCAGUCAGUUGCAGAUUAAAUUUGGUGUUCUUCUCUUUUCCCCUUCUCACUACUGUACUUGCCUAGUCUUUA